CAUUGACUGACAUUAUAUGACUGACAGACUGCAACGGUUUGAGUUAAAAAUCUUCAUUUGUGUUCUACUGAAGAAACAAAGUCACCUACAUCUUGGAUGCCCUGGGGCUUGCACCUCAAGAGUGGCGUCUGAUUGUUGUGAAUCCCCAGGAUUUGAGAGGCUUUCAAUGAGCUUCACCCACAUCAAGCUGUGCCUGCUGUAGGAAAAGACCUGGACGUUCUACUGAAUUCACAGCUCUGCCACUCAAGCUGAGAGGAAAGCUUGGCAUUAUGGGUUUGGUUUAAAGCUGGGAGCACGCGACAUACCUCAUCAUCUGCACACAUCACCAUCGCUGCUGAAAUACGUCAUCCGUCUGCAAAAUUGUGAUCGCAUCGCCACCAUCUCUCAUGCUGAGACAGCCGGGUUUGAGCUGAGAGGUUUUGUGAGGAGAGGAAUGCAGAAUGGCACGGUUCACAGGAUGUGAUAACGCAAAAAGGCACAGGAUGGAGAAUGCAAACAUUGAGUCCUGGGGCGACUUUGACCUGCCUUUUUCAAAAACAGCACUGUAAGAAUCAAGACAGCAACGAAGUGUUUAGAAUUUAUUUGA
Long non-coding RNA from Onychostoma macrolepis, 586 nucleotides. RefSeq lists it as uncharacterized. Lineage: Eukaryota; Metazoa; Chordata; Actinopteri; Cypriniformes; Cyprinidae. The transcript has 3 exons. The record is from RefSeq and is a predicted model, not a curated record.